CUUGUUCUUUGCUUUCGCCGCCUGGGAGAAGUGGUUUGCCCGCGUCCAUUUCAUCAAUUACGAGCUGCUGAAGCAGCGCACGGUUCUGGGCGCCUGUGUCAUGGCCGCCACAC
This is a non-coding RNA of Aspergillus fumigatus Af293, 113 nucleotides long. The record is from the annotation of a RefSeq genome assembly. NCBI's taxonomy places the organism in Eukaryota, Fungi, Ascomycota, Eurotiomycetes, Eurotiales, Aspergillaceae.